Molecule: ribosomal RNA, 451 nt
Filed under: uncultured bacterium
Lineage: Bacteria
Description: bacterial SSU rRNA
Rfam family: Bacterial small subunit ribosomal RNA
Source: RNAcentral
GUGGGGAAUAUUGGACAAUGGGGGGAACCCUGAUCCAGCCAUGCCGCGUGUGUGAAGAAGGCCUUUUGGUUGUAAAGCACUUUAAGUGAGGAGGAGGCUACCGAGAUUAAUACUCUUGGAUAGUGGACGUUACUCGCAGAAUAAGCACCGGCUAACUCUGUGCCAGCAGCCGCGGUAAUACAGAGGGUGCGAGCGUUAAUCGGAUUUACUGGGCGUAAAGCGUGCGUAGGCGGCUUUUUAAGUCGGAUGUGAAAUCCCCGAGCUUAACUUGGGAAUUGCAUUCGAUACUGGGAAGCUAGAGUAUGGGAGAGGAUGGUAGAAUUCCAGGUGUAGCGGUGAAAUGCGUAGAGAUCUGGAGGAAUACCGAUGGCGAAGGCAGCCAUCUGGCCUAAUACUGACGCUGAGGUACGAAAGCAUGGGGAGCAAACAGGAUUAGAAACCCCUGUAGUCC